AAUGAACGUUGGCGGCAUGGAUUAGGCAUGCAAGUCGCACGAGAAACCAAUUAGCUUGCUAUGAGGUGGACAGUGGCGAAAGGGAGAGUAACGCGUGGUUACUUGCCCUCGGGACCGGGAUAGCGUUGGGAAACCGGCGGUAAUACCGGAUAACAUCUACGGAUCAAAUGGUGUGAUUCCGCCCGAGGAUAGGACCGCGUACUAUUAGCUUGUUGGCGAGGUAACGGCUCACCAAGGCUGCGAUGGUUACCGGGUGUGAGAGCAUGGCCCGGCUCACUGGGACUGAGACACUGCCCAGACAUCUACGGAUGGCUGCAGUCGAGAAUCUUCGGCAAUGGACGAAAGUCUGACCGAGCGAUGCCGCGUGCGGGAUGAAGGCCCUCGGGUUGUAAACCGCUGUCAGUUGGGAGGAAAUUUCCAUGGGGUUCUCUCCAUGGAUUGACCAAUCUUCAGAGGAAGGACGGGCUAAGUUCGUGCC
This 478-nucleotide ribosomal RNA is filed under the name uncultured bacterium. RNAcentral describes it as "bacterial SSU rRNA". It matches the Rfam family "Bacterial small subunit ribosomal RNA", at positions 29 to 509 of the family's 1533-position model. The record is from RNAcentral.